GGACUGAGCAGAGGGUGCAGGAUCCUUCCAGGACCCGUGUGGCAGUGCUGGAAGAAGAGGCGCGGGGAGAAGGCGGCGUCUCCAGACGAAUCCGCUCCUCCCGUUGAGAAACUUCGAUGUGGCCACCCGCUUUCUUGGCGCUGGGCGGCGGGCCCUGCAGCCCUGUGGAAUUCCGGCCAGAUUCCCAGGGAGCAGAGACCCAGUCGGCCCCUUCACCCUCCCGAGGCCCUGCGGGGCGGGGGGGGGGCAGCACUCUCCAACCCCCAGCCUAUGUGGGACACACCCUGCUCUGGUCUUGAUUGCUGGGAACACCUGAGGAAUGCUGUUCUUAUCAUCUUCCCUUUAGUUCAGAUGUGACCGUCACAGUGAGGUCUCCCCUGACCAUCCUACGCAAUGAAGGGCAAGGACAUUAUCUUGCUUACUGUUACAUCCCCAGAAUCUGGCACGUUCAUGGCACAUAUCAGACACAUAAUAAAUACUAUUGAAAUGAUGAAAAAAAGAUUAUUUUUGAAAGUAAUUUUUCAUUCAAAGCUUCAGUGAUGGGAAGGUUUUAAUGGUGGAAACGAGGAAGAUAAGAAAAUGGUGAUGCUUAGCAAAUUUAUGGAAAAUGGAAAAAAAAACCUGAGAGAUCACAGAAGUAAAAAUUGUUGCACCCAGUCCAACAAUGAACCAUCAGGCAAAGAAAUAAUCAGAUUUCCCAAAUAUCAAAACCUUUGCCAUUGGUCUGCAAGCAUACAGAAGAGAUAACACUCAGCUUUCUAAAGUCUAGUGCUGUUGAGCUCAUUAGAAAUUGAAUUUUGAAUUUAUGAUAAGAAUUAAUGCAAUUCAAAUGCAUGUCAUGUGAAGUAUGACACAGCUCUUAAUUUUUAAUAUUAUUCUGCCUUUUAGAUGUCUCUCCUGGAGGAACAGACAGGCAUUUAAGACAUGGCAUUAUUUAUGAAUAUUUAACUACAUGGCUAGUUACAGAAGAAGGAAAGACACCGAUGAUUUUUGCAUGUUGUAUUAGACAUAAUAAAGAACCCCAAAGAUGUCCACAUUCUAAUCACUAGAACCAGGGAACAUGUUAACCAGCAUGGCAAAGGGGACUUUGCCAUUGUGAUUAAGUAAAGAAUCUUGAGCUGUGGAGAUGAUUCUGAAUUAUCUGAGUGGAUCAAAUGUAAUCACAAAUGUCAUUAUAAGAAGGAGGCAGAAGGAUCAAAGCCAGUGAAGAUGCCAACACAGAAGCAGAGGUAAGAGAGAUGCAAGUGAUGGCUUUAAAGAUGGAAGGGGGACAUGAGUCAAGAAGUAGGGGCGGCCUCCAGAAGCUGGAAGAAGUAAGAAUGGAACGUCCCCUAUGGCCUCCAGAAGGGCACAGUUCUUCUGAUACUUUGAUUUUAGUCUGGUGAGCUGCAUUUUGCACUUCUGACACUCAGAACUGUACAAUCAUGAAUCUGCAUUGUUUUAAGCCACAAAGUUUAUAAUUAUUUGUUACAGCAGCAAGAGGAAACUAACACACUUGUGAGUAGUCAUUUCCCCUGAUAUCAUUUGGCUCUCUGUUCCCCUACCCCCAGAUCUCAUGUUGAAUUAUAAUCCCCAACGUUGGAGGAAGGAACUGGUGGGAGGUAAUUGGAUCAUGGAGGUAGACUUCCUCCUUGCUGUUCUCAUGAUAGUGAGUGAGUUCUCAUGAGAUCUGGUUGUUUAAAAGUGUGCAGCACUUCCCCCUUCUCUCUCUCUUCCUCCUGCUCCCGACAUGCAGGACGUGCCUGGUUCCCCUUCACCUUUGGCUAUGAUUAUAAGUUGCCUGAGGCCUCCCCAGUCAUGCUUCCUUUACAGCCUACAGAACCAUGAGCCA
Long non-coding RNA from Homo sapiens (human), 1831 nucleotides. The record is from Ensembl. Lineage: Eukaryota; Metazoa; Chordata; Mammalia; Primates; Hominidae.